CUUCGCUUACAAGAUAGUCGGAAGAUGUUCUCUUUUAUUCUCAUUUUAAUUGUUGAAAUUGGUAGUCCAUAAUAAUGGAGAAUUUUGUACUUUACGAAGAACUUGGCAAGAGAGACCAUGCCAUUAUUUACAAAGGAAGAAGAAAGGCAGCAUUAGUUUUGUUGCUAUUCACUGCAUUGACAAAUGCAAAAGACCGGAGGUGACAAACACUAUUCUGAUGGACUCAUCAGAAGUGCUUAAAUAUGCAGACUUUGGGCUGGCCAAAGUGGAGGGUGAAAACUUGGAGGAGCUGUUCUACAAGUUUGCUGAUGCUGGAGAGCAAUGGAACACACAGUCAGUGGAAGAGAUUGUGAAACAGAACUCCAUCUCAGGAUCCCCAACAUAUAUGUCACCUGAGCUGUUUCAAGGUGGAGAGCCAAAUAUUAUGACAGAUUUGUGGGCUCUUGGCUGUGUUUUUUAUGAGAUGUUUGCUGGGCAUCCUCCAUUUUUAGGAGAAUCAAAAGAAAUUCUAAAAAAAAGUACUGAAUAAAGAAUUUCCAACACCAAAAGUGAAAGGCUCAAGACUGUCAGCUAAGCCAUCACCAGAAUUUCUCAGUCUGCUUGAAAAUCUUCUUCAGAAAGAUCCAUCUAGGAGGCUGGGGUGGCAAGGGUUGGUUAACCUUAGCUUCUGGCAAGGCAAGCUGUCAUCCUUAGCAAAAGACUUCAACAUGUCACAAGACACCAGUGGAAUUGCUACUCCUGCUAGUCAAAGCACUGUGUUGGAACACAAUGCUAGCUCAGUGCUUGGUCGCAUCAAAAGUUUAGAUUUUCGACGAUCCAUUGAAAAGUCUGUAUCGAGGCUUGAUGUGGUAGACUCUCCUCAUCAUCUAACUUUCACUGGAGAUGUCCUUUGUCCUAAGACUGCCCCUGGACAUGAUAAAGGAGGUAGCACUCUAUUCACAUUAAGGUAACAUGUUUAGGCUUAAAUAUUUGGUCAAUGCUUUUUAUGUAGUUAAAGUAUCCCUGUGCUGUUUGAUAAAGUAUUAUUUCAUCUUGGUGUCAACAUUAUUUUAAUCAUUCAUGUUCAGUCAAGUAAAAAUGUAAAGAUUGGCAAUCAUUAUGAUUGUUAUUUCCUGUUGUUUAUAGUAAAGAUCACAAAAUUAACACAAAAUUAACCCGUUUAGAGAAGGUCUUCUUGAUCCCUCACUCUUAUGCAUGAUAGCACACACCCACACAGAGCCAUCCUAACUUACUUUUAAAAAAACUAGUGGGGUGCAGAAUGGCUGGGUAAAGCUUGGUGUUAGAGACCGUUUCCCCAAAUCUGGGUACAUACACCCCUUCAAAUAUCACCAUUUACAGAAAAAGGUCAAAAUCAUUAUGUUACAUUUCUACACAUUACACCUAAUUAACAAAUAAUCUUAGCUCUCCCAUUGGCUUCGGCACUCACAAUGUAAACAUGUCCAGGUACAAUCAUGGCAUCUGCAUGUGUUGUUUACCUUUUACUGUGUGUGUUGAUGCAAGGACAUGUAUAGGUGGAUUGCCGUCUGUCUGCCAAGACCAACACUUAUAGCCUCUUACGAAGUUCUCCACUGUUAGUCUCGGCGAGCCGUAACAAAGAAUGUGAAGAAACCAGAAGCUUUCUUGAAUCAUGCCUUGUUUUAGCAGUUAACUGGAAAAAAUCGUCUACCAGCAGUCCAGGGAUAUUAGUUCGUGGUUGAUGUAUGUAGGCAUGUAUCUCGAAAACAGUUUGGGGAGAAUUAUUUUAGGAAACAGUAUUUUGCACUAAACUUUACCCAAUCAUUUGGAAAAAAUUUCACUCUGCUAGUUCUUUAAGCACUGGUUGUUUGUACUCCAAAACGAGACCUAAAGAUCAUACUGGGCGACAUGAAUGCCAAAGUUGGAAAUGACAACACAGGCAAAGAACACGUAAUGGGUAAGCACAGUGUGGGCAACUGCAACGAAAAUGGGGAGCUGCUCACAGACUUCUGCCUGUUCAACGACCUUGUAAUUGGAGGUACAGUUUUUCCACACAAAACCAUCCUAUGACAUCAUAAGGAUAUGGUUGUUGAAUACUUUCACAAGGCACAAAAACAAGAGGAAAUAAAAAAAAAUAAAGUGAAACAUGCUGUGGUCCUCAACUCACCAUUCUGACUCCCAGUUAGUGCUACUAGUUCUGGUAGGAUGGUCUCAAUGAUUUUCCCUUGAUGUUCCAUUAGCAGGGUGGGAUGCUGUGCAAUGCCUUCAAGGAUGGAUACAGCAGAGCCCACAAACUCACUGACACUCAAUGACACUGGUUCGGACAAUCAAUCAAGAGAUCCAGUUUUCCAUUAAGUUCAUUGAAAUCUAUCUAUAUAAAUCUAUAAAAUAUCUUUUCCUCUACUGCUAAACAUAGUGGUUCCUUUCAUCCUAACUAUGAUUAUAAGAACUGACAUGAAUCAACAGGUUAAGCAUUCUUUUCUGCGGUUAUUGUAAAACCGCCAAGACUUAUUCCUACUUUCUCACAUCGCUCAUUAAACGCAAAAAACAAAACAAAACAACCAACAACCAAAAAACAGUUUACAGGAGGCUGAUCUGUCAUAUUUUCAUUUCACUAAAAAAGUUAACAGAAGCCUGACUGCCGCACAAACUAAAAGCUAGGUAUCAAAAGUCUUAUAGCAUAUGUGUAAGAAAAAAAAAAAAAGAACGAA
Molecule: long non-coding RNA, 2666 nt
Filed under: Pomacea canaliculata
Lineage: Eukaryota; Metazoa; Mollusca; Gastropoda; Architaenioglossa; Ampullariidae
Description: uncharacterized LOC112567594
Source: RNAcentral